This 255-nucleotide ribosomal RNA is filed under the name uncultured bacterium. Its description in RNAcentral is "partial 16S ribosomal RNA". It matches the Rfam family "Bacterial small subunit ribosomal RNA", at positions 524 to 776 of the family's 1533-position model. The record is from RNAcentral.
UACGGGGGGAGCAAGCGUUGUUCGGAUUUACUGGGCGUAAAGGGCGCGUAGGCGGCCAGCACAAGUCAGUUGUGAAAUCUCCGAGCUUAACUCGGAACGGUCAACUGAUACUGUGCGGCUAGAGUGCAGAAGGGGCAACUGGAAUUCUUGGUGUAGCGGUGAAAUGCGUAGAUAUCAAGAGGAACACCUGAGGUGAAGACGGGUUGCUGGGCUGACACUGACGCUGAGUGCGCGAAAGCCAGGGGAGCAAACGGG